This is a long non-coding RNA of Nannospalax galili (Upper Galilee mountains blind mole rat), 1155 nucleotides long. RefSeq lists it as uncharacterized. Lineage: Eukaryota; Metazoa; Chordata; Mammalia; Rodentia; Spalacidae. The record is from RefSeq and is a predicted model, not a curated record. The transcript is spliced from 4 exons.
CCAUAAGGGCCCAGGGCAGUGUAAAACACCAGUGAAGAACUGCCCAGGAUUCCGUCUGCGAAUCAUAGAAGCAUUUCUCUGAGUUCCAGCCUAUAAUCUUGGAGCACAUACAUGUUUCUGACAUCCUUAUCCGGCUCAUCCUACUAGGCCAUGGAACUCAACUGCGAACAUCCAUCUCAGCUUGUUGAGUAAUGAUCCAUGUACUCUGUAAGUGAGGCAUUGGGUAGUGAGACAAUAGAAACUGGAAACAAAGAAGGCCUGUCUUCUUUUCUAUUGUUUGGGGCCUAGAAGAGAGAUUUAUGCCCACAAAGAGCUCUCCAUUGGCACAGGUGAGAAAUGUGUGUUCUCCACCCAUGGAGGGGCUAAGAGUGCUGAUAUCGGUUGAUGUAAAUGUUGAUGAAGUCCCCAGAAUCCGAAUGCCCAUUGCCCACCAGUGAGGGUAUUAGCUACUAAGCUGCAUUGCUUAUGAAUAAACCUUCUGUGUGCUGCCUGCCUCAUUCCAGAAAUAUCCCUGCCUCCUAGAAGGAGAGACCAAGCCAGGCCUCUCUCUCCUGGGACUUGCCCUUCGAGGACCCUCUGCACUGACCUGGAACCUUCAGAAAAUGUCUCUCUGGUUUCCAUCUGCUGUGAUAACUGCUAUUAAUCAAGAUGCCUGCUGUCAUCCCAUCUCCGGCUGUGAUUUCUGUCAUCUCGUCAGUGCUAAGGAGGGUCACUUCUUAGGAAGAAAGAUGCACCUGAGGGACUUGGCAGGAGCAUCUUCUGCAUCAUGUGAGCAGACCCUGAGCUGGUAAACUCCACAUUCUAAAGGACACAUUAAACAAAAUCUAAAAGUAUCUCUGUUUUCAAAGAUUCAUCCAGCAGCAGAUUUUCCCAAGAUCCUGUAAGAGCUGGGAAGUUAGGUUCCUCCUGUUCACACAUAUUUAUACAGAGUAUACCUAAGUCUCAGAUCUCAUUAGAAUUUAAAGCCACUGUCUGCCCUGUGACUUGGGAUUUUGUGGUCUUUGUAAGUACACAUGUGUUUCCUUUUCAAGAACUCCAGGGUCCUUGUGAAGCUAAUUUGUCUGGAGUCAUCCCAGCCCCCUCUUCAAAGUUUUACAAUAGAUUUAGAAAGUAAUUUAAGCCUAAACAAUGUUUUAAAAAUGAUUUGAAGGGGCC